Molecule: unclassified non-coding RNA, 378 nt
Filed under: uncultured bacterium
Lineage: Bacteria
Description: contains 16S-23S intergenic spacer region
Source: RNAcentral
UCCGGUUUGUCACCGGCAGUCUCCUAUGAGUGCCCAACUGAAUGGUGGCAACUAAGGACGAGGGUUGCGCUCGUUGCGGGACUUAACCCAACACCUCACGGCACGAGCUGACGACAGCCAUGCAGCACCUGAACCGGCAGUCCCCGAAGGGAAAGCUCCAUCUCUGGAGCGGUCCACCGUUGUCUAACCCAGGUAAGGUUCUUCGCGUUGCGUCGAAUUAAACCACAUGCUCCACCGCUUGUGCGGGCCCCCGUCAAUUCCUUUGAGUUUCAACCUUGCGGUCGUACUCCCCAGGCGGGGCACUUAAUGCGUUAGCGACGACACUCAGGGGGUCGCUCCCCCAAGCAUCUAGUGCCCAUCGUUUACGGCGUGGACUAC